Molecule: non-coding RNA, 119 nt
Filed under: Chloroflexota bacterium
Lineage: Bacteria; Bacillati; Chloroflexota
Description: Chloroflexi bacterium c-di-GMP sequence
Rfam family: c-di-GMP-I riboswitch aptamer
About the family: GEMM was predicted in a large-scale screen for bacterial structured RNA regulatory elements. Genes associated with GEMM are involved in a diverse array of functions, including chemotaxis regulation, signal transduction, secretion and chitin.
Source: RNAcentral
CCGAGAAAAGGCUAACCUGCCGAAAGGCAGGGGCGCAAAGCCACGGUCUAAACGGACAUGUGACUAACGAGUCGACCGGCUCGCAGAGUCGCCGCCGCAGGACAGCCGGGCUGCCUAGG